RNAcentral lists this ribosomal RNA (301 nucleotides) under uncultured bacterium. RNAcentral describes it as "partial 16S ribosomal RNA". It matches the Rfam family "Bacterial small subunit ribosomal RNA", at positions 509 to 809 of the family's 1533-position model. The record is from RNAcentral.
CAGCCGCCGCGGUAAUACGAAGGGGGCUAGCGUUGCUCGGAAUUACUGGGCGUAAAGGGAGCGUAGGCGGACAUUUAAGUCAGGGGUGAAAUCCCAGAGCUCAACUCUGGAACUGCCUUUGAUACUGGGUGUCUUGAGUGUGAUAGAGGUAUGUGGAACUCCGAGUGUAGAGGUGAAUUUCGUAGAUAUUCGGAAGAACACCAGUGGCGAAGGCGACAUACUGGAUCAUUACUGACGCUGAGGCUCGAAAGCGUGGGGAGCAAACAGGAUUAGAUACCCGCGUAGUCCCUGUCUCUUAUAA